AUCCAGAUAACAAGUCCCGAAUAAGACGAAACGCGCGUCGUGGAU
Molecule: non-coding RNA, 45 nt
Filed under: Schistosoma haematobium
Lineage: Eukaryota; Metazoa; Platyhelminthes; Trematoda; Strigeidida; Schistosomatidae
Source: RNAcentral